RNAcentral lists this long non-coding RNA (722 nucleotides) under Brassica napus (rape). RNAcentral's name for it is "long non-coding RNA (BNAP_LNC005856)". Lineage: Eukaryota; Viridiplantae; Streptophyta; Magnoliopsida; Brassicales; Brassicaceae. The record is from RNAcentral.
ACUUUUUUAUAAAUUGUUUUUUUUUAAAUGUUUUUUUCGAAUUGUUUUUAUUUAUUUUUGUUCAAAUUUUUUUUUGAAAAACGAAAAUUAUGUUUGAAACUAUAUUUUUAAAAAAUUUAUAUAUUUUUUAAGUAUUUAUUUAUAUAUUUAUUAGAAUCCUAAAUUUUACAUUCCAAAAACCCUACCCCACCCCUCAACUCAAAACCCUAAGUCUAGAUUAGUUAACCCUAAAGGUAUAAUUGUCUUUUACCCUUCAUUAAAAAUUAGGGUAAAAAUAUUAGUGUAAACAUGAAAAGUGGUACUAUGAAUGUGUUAUUUGUGGUAAUUUCUCAUUACAUAGGGGGUUGUUUCUUUUUAUCACAAAGAUACUUUCAUAAAUACCAUAAGAUUUCCAAACAUUAUAUGAAUACAUUCUAAAACUACAUGUAAGAAGGGUUUUUAAUGUUUAGAAAUAUUUCAUGCAAACAACUUGUUGUAAUUCUGGUCUGGAACAUCUUGUUCUUUUGGUAUUUUCUUUUUAUAUGGUUCACGAAUACACAUCAACAUAUCCAAACACUUCAAAUAAUAUCCAGUUUUGUGGCCAGCUAUAGUUGGCAUAUAGGAGAACAAUAGCAAGCUACCCAUCUUGGAUAUAGGACACUCGACCCAUCAAUCUUACCACUAUACAAGCGCAACUUUGUUAAAUGAGAAGUCUGGCAUUGUACAGAAGAUAUAUUAACAAU